UGCAUGCAGUCGAACGAGAACGGCGGCUUCGGUCGCUAAGUAAAGUGGCAGACGGCUGAGUAACACGUAAGUAACCAACCCCGGAGCGGGAAUAAUCAUGAGAAAUCGUGCCUAAUACCCCGUACGUCCCAACAGGCGUUGCCGUUGGGGGAAAGGCUUCGGUCGCUCUGGGACGGGCUUGCGGCCUAUCAGGUAGUUGGUGGGGUAAAGGCCCACCAAGCCGUAGACGGGUACCCGGUGUGAGAGCACGAACGGGCAGAGGGGGACUGAGACACGGCCCCCACUCCUACGGGAGGCAGCAGCAGGGAAUCUUGCGCAAUGGGCGAAAGCCUGACGCAGCGACACCGCGUGGAGGAAGAAGGCUUUCGGGUCGUAAACUCCUUUUCUCGGGGAAGAGAACGGACGGUACCCGAGGAAUAAGCAUCGGCUAACUACGUGCCAGCAGCCGCGGUAAUACGUAGGAUGCGAGCGUUGUCCGGAUUUACUGGGCGUAAAGGGCGAGUAGGCGGCCCGCUAAGUCUCAUGUGAAAUCUCCCGGCUCAACUGGGAGGGGUCAUGAGUAACUGGCAGGCUUGAGGUCAGCAGAGGAAAGCGGAAUUCCCGGAGUAGCGGUGAUAUGCGUAGAUACCGGGAGGAACACCAGAGGCGAAGGCGGCUUUCUGGGCUGCACCUGACGCUGAGGCGCGAAAGCAUGGGGAGCGAACCGGAUUAGAUACCCGGGUAGUCCACGCCCUAAAUGGUGGAUACUAGACAUGGGGGGGUAUCGACCCCCUCUGUGUCGUAGUUAACGCGUUAAGUAUCCCGCCUGGGGAGUACGG
This 818-nucleotide ribosomal RNA is filed under the name uncultured Chloroflexota bacterium. RNAcentral describes it as "bacterial SSU rRNA". It matches the Rfam family "Bacterial small subunit ribosomal RNA", at positions 52 to 885 of the family's 1533-position model. Lineage: Bacteria; Bacillati; Chloroflexota. The record is from RNAcentral.